UGGGGAAUAUUGCACAAUGGGGGAAACCCUGAUGCAGCAACGCCGCGUGCGGGAUGACGGCCUUCGGGUUGUAAACCGCUUUCAGCCAUGACGAAGCUUUUGUGACGGUAGUGGCAGAAGAAGCACCGGCUAACUACGUGCCAGCAGCCGCGGUGAUACGUAGGGUGCGAGCGUUGUCCGGAAUUAUUGGGCGUAAAGAGCUUGUAGGCGGUUUGUCGCGUCGAAAGUGUAAACGCAGUGCUUAACGCUGAGCCUGCUUUCGAUACGGGCUGACUAGAGGAAGGUAGGGGAGAAUGGAAUUCCCGGUGGAGCGGUGGAAUGCGCAGAUAUCGGGAGGAACACCAGUGGCGAAGGCGGUUCUCUGGACCUUUCCUGACGCUGAGAAGCGAAAGCGUGGGUAGCAAACAGG
Molecule: ribosomal RNA, 409 nt
Filed under: bacterium
Lineage: Bacteria
Description: partial 16S ribosomal RNA
Rfam family: Bacterial small subunit ribosomal RNA
Source: RNAcentral